GUUGGGAACAGUAGCCCUCACUUGGUAUUGUGGUUUAGAGAUUAAUAUGUAUUGUAUUGUGGUUUAGAGAUUAAUAUGUACUUAAUUGAGUAGGCGUAGUACAGGUGGUUCCUAACAUGCAUGAAAGUCUUUUGAUGUUGAUGGCAUUAAACAAACAUAUUAUUAAAAUUUUAUGCAUUAUUAUAAGAACACCACUCAAAGAUCUUAUACUUGUCAAUACAACAAGGGAUGAUUGUUGUUUUUACUUUUAAAAUAAUUC
RNAcentral lists this long non-coding RNA (259 nucleotides) under Mytilus galloprovincialis (Mediterranean mussel). The record is from RNAcentral. Lineage: Eukaryota; Metazoa; Mollusca; Bivalvia; Mytilida; Mytilidae.